Long non-coding RNA from Gavialis gangeticus (Gharial), 1637 nucleotides. RefSeq lists it as uncharacterized. The record is from RefSeq and is a predicted model, not a curated record. The transcript has 3 exons. Lineage: Eukaryota; Metazoa; Chordata; Crocodylia; Gavialidae.
GUUGCUGUGCAGUACUUGGUGCUGAGCGCUUGUGUAACAGCAGAAACUGCCUUGCCUUACGAUGUAUGAGUGUGUGCAAAGUGUCUGCACAUGCUCAUUAGAGUGAAAUCCCAGCAAAACUCCUGUCCUUUCCCUGCUCUUUGCCCUGAGCUUUACUUCUCCAAAGGUGCGUUUAGUGACUCAGGAGCAGGACAGAGAGGGUAAAGAGGCGUUUAGUCUGUUGGGGAAAAUAAGAAGAUGAAUGGGAAUAAUAGAAGAAGAGCAGAUGAGAUGAGUACAGGCGAAUAAUAGAUUACACUGGUACAGAUCAGGGGGAAAGCAGUUUGCAUGAGACCUUUGAGGAGCUCAGGAGCAGUGCUGCAGAAUGAGAAGAGCAGAGGGAUGAAGAAAGGGGAUGUAAAAACAGACUGGGGGCAUGUGGUAGUGAAGAAACAAAUAAGGGGGUUAGCAGGCCUGAUAAAGUAGUAGAGCACUGAAAGGGAGUGUGGACAGUGAGAGGAUGGUGGAGCUGCAAGGGCAGAGGAGAAGGGGAUGGUGGAGCAGAUUAGGGAGUGAGAGGAUGGCAAAACCUAUUGAUAGAAAGGCUGAGGAACAGACUAGAAUAUCGUAUCAAUAUGAGAAUGAGAGAAACAGAUGGAGAAGUAUAAGAGUAUGGCAACCAGCUCAGAAGCUGCUACAUGCCUCCCGCCACCUUUCUGCCUGAGAGGCUCUGAUCCCUAACGUUCAUCUCUGAGAAAGGAACCUGAGUGACUGGAAUUGCUCUUAGCCCUUUCUUCAUUGUGGAAGGAAACUCUUCUUGCUGCAAGGCUCUAUCACUUUAAGGGCAGCAGCCUGAAAGGACGUACAGGAAAUGCACUGAACUCAGCUUUGUAGGGAGAACAAAGGCAUACAGGCAGGGAGGAAGGAGGCAGGAAGGCAAUUUUAUGGCUGGGAAUGUCACAAGCAGAAAGGGCCAGAGUUUCUCUGGAUUUAUGUAACUGAAUGGAGAACUGUGCAAUAAGGCAUAUUUAGUGAGGUCAAUGCUGCAAAGUUCUUAGACACAUGUUUAUUAUUAAGGAUGUGAGUAAUCCCAUCUCUAUUCAGCAAAGCAUGCAAGUUAAAUGCGAUUUAAGCAUGUGCUUAAAGUUAUGUUUGUAUAUGGAAUAUGUGAGAAUGUUUAUAAACUUUCUAUGAACAGUAUUUGUGCCCAUUCCCCCAUCUUCCUGUGUAUGGUUACCUAGAAUGAUCUAACUUCUGUUCUGGGCUGUCAGUGUGAUACAUGGGAAAACCAAAUGUAGGUGUCUGGGUGGCAUGAACUGACUCACCAGAAACUAAAUGGAGACAUCUCCCUAAGGAAUGAAAUCCUAUGAACACAAAGAAAGCUUCGUUAAUGGGACACUAACUUUUAAGAACCAGGAACCAAGGAGUGGUGAAUGGAGAUCAGGGUUUUCAAAGCUUCCUCAUCAAGAAGAGGGCUUUCUUGGAGACAUAGGAUUUAAUGAAGGCAAUGGAGCUUGAGUGAUUUAUGUCAGCUGAGGAUCUAUCCCCCGAAUAUUAUCUUUGUGAAUAUACAAAUAUACGCCCACAGGAACUGAGCUGAGACCAGAAAAUGGACACCCACAGGAACAGAAGAGAGGCACAUGGCAAAGCAAAAGAAA